This 481-nucleotide long non-coding RNA is filed under the name Homo sapiens (human). Its description in RNAcentral is "HSALNT0320368". The record is from RNAcentral. Lineage: Eukaryota; Metazoa; Chordata; Mammalia; Primates; Hominidae.
GGGAAUUGUGGGAGCUACAAUCCAAGAUGAGAUUUGGGUGGGGAUACAGCCAAACCAUAUCAAGGAAAGUGGGAAGUGUAAAUUAGCUGCCUGGGUCCCAGAAGUGAAUCAUUAAACUUGAACACUGAAUUUUCCUGUAUCCUGAAAACUCCAAAGUAUCUUAAUUCCAGAUGACUAGCGGUUGCUUUUAGCCAUAUUUUAAUACAUGGAAGCACUUCUGCAUUCCCUCUUUUCCCCAGGCCUGGACCUCAAUCCCCAGGUGUCUGCAACUCUUACUUGAUAUACACACAAUGGAUAAUCAAUAAUGAUUCAGCUAAGUAUGGAAAUAGAGCAGAGAAGAGCCCCUCCAGGUGUGAGCAGAACCUUGAAGGAGACAGGGAGCAGCCAUGUGGCUCUCAGAGGAACAGCAUUUCCAGGAGGAAUUGUGAUUGUAUUUCUGGGAACACAUCUUGGCAGGAGUUUCACUCUUGUCACCCAGGCU